Molecule: ribosomal RNA, 253 nt
Filed under: uncultured bacterium
Lineage: Bacteria
Description: partial 16S ribosomal RNA
Rfam family: Bacterial small subunit ribosomal RNA
Source: RNAcentral
UACAGAGGGUGCAAGCGUUAAUCGGAAUUAUUGGGCGUAAAGCGCAUGUAGGUGGUUUAUUAAGUUUGAUGUGAAAGCCCUGGGCUUAACCUGGGAAUGGCGUUGAAUACUGGUAGACUUGAGUCGGACAGAGGGCGGUGGAAUUUCCGGUGUAGCGGUGAAAUGCGCAGAUAUCAGGAGGAACACCGGUGGCGAAGGCGGAUCUCUGGGCCAUUACUGACGCUGAGGAGCGAAAGCGUGGGGAGCGAACAGG